GUGAGUCAUCGAAUCUUUGAACGCACCUUGCGCCCUGUGGUAUUCCGCAGGGCAUGCCCGUUUGAGUGUUAUUAAAUCAUCAACUCCUAACACCUUGUGUGUUCAGGUGCUUGGUCUUGAGGGUCUUGCAGGCGCUCUGCCGUUCUGCUCCCUUUAAAUCUAUUAGUGAGACUUCCCUUUGCUGACUGUCUCUUGGCGUGAUAGUUAUCUACGUCAAAUUUCGAUGGUCUCGUUGGGCUUGCUUCUAAUCGUCUUCGGACAAUCGAUUUGGGUGCAUAUAUGCACUUCAUUUCAAACCUUUUUAACCUCUAAAUCGGGUAGGACAUACCCGCUGAACUUAAGCAUAUCAAUAAGCGGAGG
Molecule: ribosomal RNA, 360 nt
Filed under: uncultured fungus
Lineage: Eukaryota; Fungi
Description: eukaryotic LSU rRNA
Rfam family: 5.8S ribosomal RNA (bases 1-71)
Source: RNAcentral